GACUGGGGCGAUAGCGAUCAUGACAGAACUGGGUUUGAAGCCCCGGCCAACUCCGUGCCAGCAGCCGCGGUAAGACGGGGGGGGCAAGUGUUCUUCGGAAUGACUGGGCGUCAAGGGCAAGUGGGCGGUGGUCGAGUGGUGGGAUUGUCUGUUGCCUGACUGGCUAGCCUAGGUUCAACACCAAUGCCACUGGAGUCACCCGAGUAGAGUGGAAUGUCUCGUUGGGGAGGGGUCAAAUCCGGAGAUCGAAGAUGGAACGCCGAUGAAGCGAAGGCAGCUCUAUUGGGCAGCACGGACGCUGAUUGGUUGCGACAGCAUGGGGAGCGAACGGGAUUAGAUACCCCAUUAGUCCUAGCAGUAAACGAUGAGUGUCAGCCCUCCUUGAGCUUACCUGGGGCUCGAGCACGCUUGGAACACUCCGCCUGGGAAGUACGGUCAGACCGAAACUCAAAGGAAUUGACGGGGGCCAGAUCAAGCGGUGGAGCAUGUGGUUUAAUUCGAUACAACGCGCAUCACCUUACCCGCCCGAGUAGGAACGAUCGCCCCUUGGCAGAAACGGAAGCAAUGGGGCCUAUGGGGUACUGUCUGCUUCGGACUCGUGUUCACACCGGUGCUGCAUGGCUGUCGUCAGCGCGUCUCGUGAGAUAGCAAUGGGUCAUCCGAUAACGAGCUCAAUCCUACCUAGUACAGUGUUGCUGAGACAUGCCAGUCGUUCCAAUGUCUCUAUACGCAAGCAGCUGGGUCAGGUCCAUCCACUCUUUCAUGGCAUCUCACUCCUCGCCAAGUACACCAGUGCUAUUGGAUGAGUCAUGGUGGAAUGGAGGUGUGAUGGUUCACUAGUUCGGUGAAAGACCUGGGAGCUGCGAGGUGGAAACCCAAGAGCACCGAGUUCACUGGAAGAGAUGGCCUAUUCAUGGAGUUGUGGUUGAGUUGAUUUGGCACUUCGGUGGGGGGGGACUGAGUCAUGGGCUGGCGUGCUAAUCACUCUGGACUGCCACUCGAAAAGAUGGAGGUGGUGGGCUGAAGUCAAGUCCGCAUGGCCUGAUGGUCGGGGCGACACACGUGCUACUAGUAGUGGUCCAUGACAAUGGGAAGCAUGGCUGAACGGCUGAGCCAACCCGGUUCGAAGGCAAAGAGGAUACCGCAAUCAAUCGUUCGGAUUGUUCUCUGCAAUCGGGAACAUGAAGUUGGAAUCGCUAGUGAUCGCGGAUCAGCAUGCCGCGGUGAAUCUGUACCCUGGCCCUGUACACACCGCCCGUCACACCCCUUUGCUGGUCGUAGCCCGACGCAUCGAUUCGCACCUCCGUCCCGUUGCUCGAUUCAUGGUGCCAUUCAAAGUAUAGCUACGACUCCCACCCAAAGGAUAGCGGGUGUUCGGCCAAUGCGUGUACGUUGUGGUGCUCAUGGUCUGGUUCGAUUCAUGCUAUUGCCAUGACCUUUUGCCCGUGGGGUGAAGUCGUAACAAGGUAGCCGUAGGGGAACCUGUGGCUGGAUUGGGUUGAUGACUAUACUACUACGAUGCCACCGAUCGGCACCAUAUGGGGCAUCCAUGCAUCCGUAUAUUCGGCACAUCAGUUCAAAAUGAGGUUCAUUGGGGAUCCGGGGGCGUGGCAUCAGAGAUCGCCAACUCAUUGCUCGCGUGGUUCAACCCGUCGGUCAACCCCAACAGAGUGUGCAGCUCGGCAUCGCGUCAUGGCACCUCUAUGAUGGCAUGCGGCAUUGGCACCACUCGGACGGACCUCCCCGGACUGCAAUGGGAACAACACGAGAGCCCAUUCGAUUAACAACUAGUUCGAUUAGCUUCUUAGUGACUUAAUAGAGUUAUGAAGAGUUAAGUCGAUGGGUCGUAGUUAAGGAGUUCGAUUUAUCUUAUUAAGUAUCUUAUUCAUGAGCUGAUUAGUUACUGAAUAGAGUGAUUAAGGUGCUUAGUCGAUGAGCUGUUGAGUGAA
Molecule: ribosomal RNA, 1949 nt
Filed under: Viscum crassulae
Lineage: Eukaryota; Viridiplantae; Streptophyta; Magnoliopsida; Santalales; Viscaceae
Description: bacterial SSU rRNA
Rfam family: Bacterial small subunit ribosomal RNA (bases 1-1504)
Source: RNAcentral